This 301-nucleotide ribosomal RNA is filed under the name uncultured bacterium. Its description in RNAcentral is "partial 16S ribosomal RNA". It matches the Rfam family "Bacterial small subunit ribosomal RNA", at positions 509 to 809 of the family's 1533-position model. The record is from RNAcentral.
CAGUAGCCGCGGUAAUACAGAGGGUGCGAGCGUUAAUCGGAUUUACUGGGCGUAAAGCGUGCGUAGGCGGCUAAUUAAGUCGGAUGUGAAAUCCCCGAGCUUAACUUGGGAAUUGCAUUCGAUACUGGUUAGCUAGAGUGUGGGAGAGGAUGGUAGAAUUCCAGGUGUAGCGGUGAAAUGCGUAGAGAUCUGGAGGAAUACCGAUGGCGAAGGCAGCCAUCUGGCCUAACACUGACGCUGAGGUACGAAAGCAUGGGGAGCAAACAGGAUUAGAUACCCCGGUAGUCCCUGUCUCUUAUAA